RNAcentral lists this ribosomal RNA (440 nucleotides) under uncultured bacterium. Its description in RNAcentral is "partial 16S ribosomal RNA". It matches the Rfam family "Bacterial small subunit ribosomal RNA", at positions 338 to 795 of the family's 1533-position model. The record is from RNAcentral.
CCUACGGGUGGCUGCAGUGGGGACUAUUGCACAAUGGGGGAAACCCUGAUGCAGCGACGCCGCGUGAGUGAAGAAGUAUUUCGGUAUAUACAGCUCUGUCAGCAGGGAAGAAAAUGACGGUACCUGACCAAGAAGCCCCGGCUAACUCCGUGCCAGCAUCCGCGGUACUACUUAGGGGGCAAGCGUUCUCCGGAUUUACUGGGUGUAAAGGGAGCGUAGACGGCAGGGCAAGUCUGGAGUGAAAGGCGGGGGCUCAACCCCCGGACUGCGCUGGAAACUGCCAGGCUGGAGUACAGGAGAGGUAAGUGGAAUUCCUAGUGUAGCGGUGAAAUGCGUAGAUAUUAGGAGGAACACCAGUGGCGAAGGCGGCUUACUGGACUGUAACUGACGUUGAGGCUCGAAAGCGUGGGGAGCAAACAGGAUUAGAUACCCCGGUAGUC